CCCUUAGAUGUUCUGGGCCGCACGCGCGCUACACUGAUGCAUUCAACGAGCCUAUCCUUGGCCGACAGGUCCGGGUAAUCUUUGAAUCUGCAUCGUGACGGGGAUAGAUUAUUGCAAUUAUUAAUCUUCAACGAGGAAUGCCUAGUAGGUGCAAGUCAUCAGCUUGCGUCGAUUACGUCCCUGCCCUUUGUACACACCGCCCGUCGCUCCUACCGAUUGGGUGUGCUGGUGAAAUGUUCGGAUCGGCCGUUUGUCGCGGUUUCCGCGUCAUGUGGCUGAGAAGUUCAUUAAACCCUCCCACCUAGAGGAAGGAGAAGUCGUAACA
This 325-nucleotide ribosomal RNA is filed under the name uncultured eukaryote. RNAcentral describes it as "partial 18S ribosomal RNA". It matches the Rfam family "Eukaryotic small subunit ribosomal RNA", at positions 1470 to 1796 of the family's 1831-position model. The record is from RNAcentral.